RNAcentral lists this ribosomal RNA (488 nucleotides) under uncultured bacterium. Its description in RNAcentral is "bacterial SSU rRNA". It matches the Rfam family "Bacterial small subunit ribosomal RNA", at positions 37 to 507 of the family's 1533-position model. The record is from RNAcentral.
GACGACGCUUGGCGGCGUUGGAUUAGGCAUGCAAGUCGAACGGUAUCAUCCUUUCGGGGGUGAGAGAGUGGCGAACUGGUGAGUAACACGUAGGUUAUCUACCCUCAAGACGGGGACAACCCGGGAAACUUGGGGCUAAUACCGGAUGUGAGCAACUUUUAGUUGUUUGAAAGGUGGCGUAAGCUGUCGCUUGGGGAUGAGCCUGCGUCCUAUUAGUUAGUUGGUGAGGUAACGGCUCACCUAGGCAAUGAUAGGUAGGCGGCCUUAACGGGUGGUCGCCCACACUGGGAUUGAGAUACGGCCCAGACUCCUACGGGAGGCAGCAGUCGAGAAUAGUCUACAAUGGUCGGAAGACUGAUAGUGCGACGCCGCGUGAACGAUGAAUCCCUUCGGGGUGUAAAGUUCUUUUAUAUGUGAGCAGUGCUUCUUAUAUUAACAGUAUGGGGAGAGAGAUAUUAGCAUAUGAAUAAGCAACGGCUAACUCCGUG